RNAcentral lists this transfer RNA (97 nucleotides) under Bimuria novae-zelandiae CBS 107.79. It matches the Rfam family "tRNA". From Rfam's summary of the family: Transfer RNA (tRNA) molecules are approximately 80 nucleotides in length. Their secondary structure includes four short double-helical elements and three loops (D, anti-codon, and T loops). The record is from Rfam by way of RNAcentral. Lineage: Eukaryota; Fungi; Ascomycota; Dothideomycetes; Pleosporales; Didymosphaeriaceae.
GGCAACGUGGCGGAGUGGUUAUCGCGCAGCACUCGAAUGUUUUCACAUCCGAUAUGCUGUUCCCUCGGGAGCGCAUGUUCGAAUCAUGCCGUUGUCG